This is a long non-coding RNA of Perognathus longimembris pacificus (Pacific pocket mouse), 500 nucleotides long. RefSeq lists it as uncharacterized. The transcript is spliced from 3 exons. The record is from RefSeq and is a predicted model, not a curated record. Lineage: Eukaryota; Metazoa; Chordata; Mammalia; Rodentia; Heteromyidae.
GGAUUGGCCCAACAUCUCUGGAUGACAGCGCCAUCCCAAAAACAGUAAGAGGAAAGUAGAAAAAUGGCAGUGUUCUAUUUGUGCCACCCAGUCUGAAGCCAUUGGUACCCCUGUCGUGGUUGAAAAUGGCUGCCAACAACUGAGAACCUGGAUAUUCACUUAAGUUGAAUGCUAGGAAAAUAGCAUCAUCUGUGGCUAGAGGCUGUGACUCUGGACAGCCCAGCAAGUGUCCUUCUGCCUGAGAUCCAGGCACCACUAUGCAUGUAAACAGUGACUGAGUCUGAGGUCCUCCCACCUCUGCACAGUUACUAAUUAAUAAAGGAAGAUGAAAGGAAGGACUCAGGUCCUGGCGCCAGGAGACUUCGACCAGCUAGUAUGAAGCUAGCUCUGCCAUUUAUAACUUUACAAAGUUGUCUCCUACAAAAUACGGGUUUCCUUGCCUCCAAGGCGGGAAUCAUCAUCAACAUUUUGAAGUUUGCAGUUAGGGCUAAAUGAGACAU